ACGCACGCUGGCGGCGUGCUUCACACAUGCCAGUCGAACGGAAAGGCCCUGCUUUUGUGGGGUGCUCGAGUGGCGAACGGGUGAGUAACACGUGAGUAACCUGCCCUUGAGUUUGGGAUAACUUCAGGAAACUGGGGCUAAUACCGGAUAGGAGCUCCUGCUGCAUGGUGGGGGUUGGAAAGUUUCGGCGGUUGGGGAUGGACUCGCGGCUUAUCAGCUUGUUGGUGGGGUAGUGGCUUACCAAGGCUUUGACGGGUAGCCGGCCUGAGAGGGUGACCGGCCACAUUGGGACUGAGAUACGGCCCAGACUCCUACGGGAGGCAGCAGUGGGGAAUAUUGCACAAUGGGCGGAAGCCUGAUGCAGCAACGCCGCGUGCGGGAUGACGGCCUUCGGGUUGUAAACCGCUUUCGCCUGUGACGAAGCGUGAGUGACGGUAAUGGGUAAAGAAGCACCGGCUAACUACGUG
This 467-nucleotide ribosomal RNA is filed under the name uncultured bacterium. RNAcentral's name for it is "partial 16S ribosomal RNA". It matches the Rfam family "Bacterial small subunit ribosomal RNA", at positions 29 to 507 of the family's 1533-position model. The record is from RNAcentral.